UUUCUGGUCUCGGGUCAUACUGUCUUCGGAUACCUCGGGAUGCAUUUUAGUCCCUAUGCGCCACGUGCGGGCCGGCCUUCACCUGCAAGUCUGCUCACCCUGAACGACCCUCAUUUUCUGUGCACCGGAAGUGCUUGGCCUUCUUGGCGGCUGCUCCCCGGCAGUGGUUUCCCUCCCCCCUCAGCCUCGGGGCGGUUCAGCUGUCCGUGUAAGGGCGGGGUCUAGGGGCUAGGUUGGGAUUGGAUGCCCCGCAGCUUUUGGAAGACUCCCUCAGAUAUUUCCUUAAGCAUUGUUGGAAAGGUCGCACUAUGGCUUUGGGCAGCGUUCACAUCCGUAGCCCUCCUUAAGCUGUGUGGCCUUGGGUGGGUCGUAUGACCUCUCUGAGCUUCCCAGGUGACUUCUCUGCAAAAUGGGAUGGUAAAAUCCGAGUUGGUGCUAAAUCGUAACGUUCAUGCUGCAUAGCAGGGCUUCAGCAGACCAGCCUGUGUCGUCUGGUAGCACCACUGGCUCUGGGUAGAUCUGAGAAGCACCUUUCUAAGGCGACCCACUUGGCUUGCAUUCGCGCGCGGAUUCAAAGGACUGACAAUUCCUUCUCUCCCUCAACAGUGUCUUCCCUAUCUAAUCCUAACAAGCAAGCCUUAAGGAAUUGCAGAGUUUCUGGUUGAAGGUUCUCCAGGCCCCCUUGUUAAAGGACAGAUUUACGCUGACUGAAGUACAGAAGAGAAUCCGAAAAACACGUGUCUCUACCUUAAGCAGGAGUGGGAGUGGGUGGGAGCUCCCCAGAUGGCCUUUACCUUGGCCUUUUUUCUUUCUCCCUCAUUUGGGAUGCUAGUGACCUGGGCUCUGGCCCACAACACUUUCUGUAAGCAAGAACGCUGGAUGUCAUGACUAAGGAAGAGAUCUCUUGUUUAUUCUUGAGCUCUUCCGCGAGGUGAGAGACUCAUUUGAACAAGAGAGGCGGCUGCCAAAGCACACUGAGCGUGCCUCGGAUACUCAGGGAGAGUGAAAACCAACUCUAGGCACCUGAAGAAAGAGAAGGCUUUGAUUUCCAUGUGAUGAGAGGCACAGGCGAAUGCAGGAGCUUCAGGGAUGCCCUAAGUGACUUGACCAGUCUGAAUUGGACGUUUUUGUGUCAUGCUCAUCAAACACCCUCACCUUCUAAAAGGCUUUGCGCGGUGGCAGCUCGCUUUUGAGAGUGGGUUUCUUCUGGUGCCGGAGGAAAUGCACCUCCAGAAAGUCAUUUCACGCUCGGGGAUUUGUGCUGUUGUGAUUAAUUUACGUGCUGGGCAGAACAGUCAAGAAAGAUGUAAAGAUGGACACUCCUAGGAAAACUGAAGUGUAUUCUCGCACCAGCAGGGUUCUCCUCCUGCCCCACUGUCUGGAAGAUUUCACAUUCCGGGCACCUCAUCUUCCUCACCCAACAACGGUGUUUUGUGUCUUGAUCCCAGUUGAAGAGCCUGGCACACGAACAGCCUAGCCUAUUCAUUCCUGGAGCAAUUUUGCAUAUGCAAGACGGAAGCCAAGACUGAUGUCUUCAUCCCAGACGUGCUCGUUCACACACAUUCCGGGUGAACGAGUCAUGCUCAGGGGUCAGAGCAGGAAGUGGCUACUGCUGGAUGAAAGAUUCUGCUGGAAGAGAUGAAAGGUGCUUCGUGCCUCUGGGGGUGGAGAAAGAGAAAAGAGGCCAGUCUUUUCUGCAGCUGUCGCGGUGAAAAGUUCCAGGUAUGCAGCUCCUUUUGAUGUGACGAAACACUGUUUUGUAAAUUUACGUAAUUCAGGGAGGCAUUCGGAUUGGCCCUUUUCCUGCUCCUCUGUUUCGCAUUUUGAGACUCAAGCUUUUGCAACAAGGUAAACUGCCUCCAGAAUAACAUGAAGUGGCUGACAAGGCUCAGUGUGAAAUGUUUGUCUGCAUAUCACCGUUCCAUCUCCUCCAGUGGGAGGAGAAUGUUCCUGUGGUCCAUGAUGCUGUAGACACCUGAGAUUAAACAUGCGGAGACCUAAUAUUCAAAUCAAAUUUAGAUUUGAAAUCAAAAAGUCAAGGGAGAACAAAGUCCAAUCACUUGUUUGUGUCCAGAAGUGGAAGGUCUUGAUGGAUUCCGUAAUUUUCCUUCAAUUCAUCUCUCCCAAGCAAACAACGUUGUUAUUUCUUUCAAUUUAUUCAUUUAACAUCCACUGUUGAGAACCUAGUGUUCUCUGUGGCACACAAACUCCCGUUCGUUGAAUUUAGUUAGACUGCAGUGACCCUAAUGGUGACUAUUUGGUGAGUGCUUGUCAAAUGCUGAGUGGUGCUUUGAAGAUGUCCACGAAUGAUCUCAUUAAACUUCCUUGUAUAAAUAUGGGAUGGGUGCUCUAAUAACUGUUGUACAAACAAUGCCAGUCAGUUGCUCCAAGUCACUGAUUUGAAUCAAAAUAGUUGAACCUUGUGAACUCAGAGCUGUAAACUUGAUAUCGUAGUCAAGAGAAUUAGGUGCCUGGGUCAUAGACCUUGGUGUAUCAGGGAGCAGUGAAGACCAAGGGAAGCAAAGAGCUUCUGUGCUUUUGUUCCACCAGGUUGUCUUUGGAUCAGAGAGUUGAUUCUGAGGAGACUGAAGUCAUUAUGGGAAAUUGUAUCAGUUAGCUGUGGCUGUGUAACAAAUUACCACACACUGAACGGCUUCAAACAUGGUCCCGGUUUCUAUGGGUCAGGAGUCUGGGUGCGACUUGGCUGGGUCCUCUGCUUGGGUCUCACAUGGUCAAGGUAUCCGGUGGGGUGUGUUGUCCUCUGGAAGCGUGACGAGGGAAGGAUCCACUUCUAAGCUCCCUCAGUUUGUGUGUGUGGGGGGGAAUCUCAUUCCUUGUGGUUGUGGAGUUCAUGGCAGAACUAAAAGGGAAUACAGAAGCUUCAAGGUAACCUUGUGGUUGUGACUUCAGGAAGAAGCUACCACUCUUUCAGUGAGCAAAUGAAGGGGAAAAGUUGGAUAGAAGUUAAAAGCGCAGUUUGGGGGUGAAAAUAUGAACACAUAAUGGGAUGUAUAUCAAUAUGAUUUACAUAAACAUGAAACCCACAUAAAACGCUACACACUUCAUAAAAACAGGUGAGCAAAUAACUCCUGUGAAACAUAUUACAUAGUUCCCAACAUUGGGGUGAGGAAUAGUGAUGAAAAGGAACACGUGAUAAAGAGCAGAGGAUCUUUACCUGGACCAGUGGUGAUGAUGCCCCGUGAUCUGACCAGUGUGGAAUAUAAUUCACCCAUCCUUCCCCACCAGAGACUCAAAAGGGGAGAAGGGGCUGUGUUUUAAAGUAUUAGUUAACAUAUUUUCCCAAAAAGGUCAUUAAAAUAAAAGUAAAGAGACAAAAAUCUUCCCCUGUUGAUAGACUUAAACAGUUAAAAUAGACUUGUUUUGGUGAUGCAAAUCGUUGUUCUAUGGAAUAUUGCCGACCGUGACCCAAAUCACUGUUCUAUGGAAUAUUGCCGACCGUAUGUACUCCCCUCCCCAGCCAGACAGCCAAGUGCUUCUCAGGGCUGGAUAGUUACUUUGUACAUGAUUAACUGUGCUCUUUCUUCCAUGCUGAUGCUAUCACGAUUCCUUUGCUGUUAGUCUGGGCCGGAAAGGGCACAGAGAAGCAAUUUUCCUUAUAAAACUGAGAGUUACAAAAAACGAAUGUGUGUUGGCAAGUGUUGAGAGGAACUUCUCAUCAGAAAUUCCGGGCUUGGAAACCAAGUUCUGUGUCCAGGCUUUAUCAUCCUUACACGUUAACGUCAUUGCAACUACAUUUGUUGAUGCAUUUGUUCUGUGUAAUGAGGCUCCUCUCCGUCUACUGUAUGGGGGAAAACAAUUGAAGCAAAAGCGAACUUUGUCAGAAUCCCAGUUUGGUGAUACGUACAUUCUUCAAGCAGACAGUCAGGCUUCUCGUUUUCAGCCAGCCCUGACUUCCUAGGCUUUCUGUUCUGGAACGUUGAGUCGAGCAUCUUCAUGAGCCUGUGACCUCAUCACCAGAAAAGAUUUGGUAAAGGGAGUGAAGAAUUCUUGGCUGUGUUUUUCUUUCCUAACAGAAGCUCAGAAGCGAUGAGUCUAUUUGAACUGCUCUAAAUCCUUUCUGUGUGGAACUCUCAGGAAAUGCUGUAGCCGUGUCUCAUCAUUAAUGAUGUUUUGGAAACCCAGCUCCGUCUGAACUCCUGGGUCUUCAAAAAUGAUCGCUUUACCACAGUGACUCCUGUACUAAGUCUAGAUGUAAAUGAAACAGGACUUCCCCAGUUUAGUGUCUGGAGACUAACUGGGGACCUGCAGGAGCCCCAUUAAAUCUUCCAAACAAGUUGUUUAUUGAGCUGAGUGUUUUGAUCUGAGGUUGAAGGGCAAGUGUGGCUGGAGAGUGCUAGAUUUAAUCAACAGAAGUAACUUGAGGGUAAAGAUACUUUCAUUGCCAGUAAGACAGACUCUUCUUUUGGUAUUUCAGGUCAGACACGAGUUCAAGGUGAGAGAAAAAUGUCAACAUCCCUUUAUUUAUUUUCCUCUGAGAAAAUAGAAAAUAGAGUGUUCUUGGCACACUCAACAGAAACUAAGAUGAAAGAUGAAAGGUCCUCUCUCCAGAUAAUAGAGUCUUUCUUUUUUUUUAAUUUUGAUGUUUUUGUUCAUUAUAGAUUUUUUUUUUUUUUUUUUGCAUCUAUUUUUAUUUACUUGGCCAUGCCACACGGCAUGC
This is a long non-coding RNA of Aethalodelphis obliquidens (Pacific white-sided dolphin), 4678 nucleotides long. RefSeq lists it as uncharacterized. Lineage: Eukaryota; Metazoa; Chordata; Mammalia; Artiodactyla; Delphinidae. The record is from RefSeq and is a predicted model, not a curated record. The transcript has 7 exons.